Molecule: long non-coding RNA, 253 nt
Filed under: Ananas comosus (pineapple)
Lineage: Eukaryota; Viridiplantae; Streptophyta; Magnoliopsida; Poales; Bromeliaceae
Description: long non-coding RNA (ACOM_LNC004126)
Source: RNAcentral
UUUUUUUACUUACUUUCUUGCAUCAUACUUGACAAUCCGGUUCUGUUCAAGUAAAGAAAAAAAAAUCGGUGGAGCUCACAACCAACAACAUUGAAGAGAAUGUUGCCAUGUGGCAAGAUUUUGGAGAAAUAAUAAAUAGUAAUAGAUGUGGCGUAUACAAUAUAUACAUAGUUGGCUAAAAACUAAGUGAGUGAUAUUUCAAGAAGUUUUAAGUUUGAAAUCAAAUUAUUUCAUAUCUUUAAGUUGAGUUUAA